AUGCCGAAGCUAGAGCCGGAGCCACCGCUGCUGGCGGAGUAUAAGGGGGCGGUGGUUAGUGAGCCUGAAGACCCUGCAGACCUGCCAGGGCUCCUAAGGGCACUACGUGAAUCGACGAAGGGGCCGCAGCACCAUCUCGAUGACCCGGUUGACACGUCGGGGCUUCGACAUGCGAUUGUCACCACGGUGGCCUACGUCACCAUCGACCUCGGGAGCAAGGAUGAUGAUGAUGGCAAGCAGCAGCAGGAGGAGGAGGACCACUCCUCCAGCGCUAGCAGCAGCUCGGACGUGGACGACGACGGUGAGUAG
Molecule: ribosomal RNA, 309 nt
Filed under: Triticum aestivum (bread wheat)
Lineage: Eukaryota; Viridiplantae; Streptophyta; Magnoliopsida; Poales; Poaceae
Description: partial small subunit ribosomal RNA
Source: RNAcentral